AGUGAACGCUGGCGGUAGGCCUAACACAUGCAAGUCGAACGGCAGCACAGUAAGAGCUUGCUCUUACGGGUGGCGAGUGGCGGACGGGUGAGGAAUACAUCGGAAUCUACUUUUUCGUGGGGGAUAACGUAGGGAAACUUACGCUAAUACCGCAUACGACCUACGGGUGAAAGCAGGGGAUCUUCGGACCUCGCGCGAUUGAAUGAGCCGAUGUCGGAUUAGCUAGUUGGCGGGGUAAAGGCCCACCAAGGCGACGAUCCGUAGCUGGUCUGAGAGGAUGAUCAGCCACACUGGAACUGAGACACGGUCCAGACUCCUACGGGAGGCAGCAGUGGGGAAUAUUGGAAAAUGGGCGCAAGCCUGAUCCAGCCAUACCGCGUGGGUGAAGAAGGCCUUCGGGUUGUAAAGCCCUUUUGUUGGGAAAGAAAAGCAGCAGGUUAAUACCCCGCUGUUCUGACGGUACCAAAAGAAUAAGCACCGGCUAACUUCGU
This 491-nucleotide ribosomal RNA is filed under the name uncultured bacterium. RNAcentral describes it as "partial 16S ribosomal RNA". It matches the Rfam family "Bacterial small subunit ribosomal RNA", at positions 29 to 506 of the family's 1533-position model. The record is from RNAcentral.